Molecule: long non-coding RNA, 1592 nt
Organism: Struthio camelus australis
Lineage: Eukaryota; Metazoa; Chordata; Aves; Struthioniformes; Struthionidae
Source: Ensembl
GCAGGAGCCGCUGCUCACGGAGACUAGUGCUGCUGCUUUCAAACUGGGACGCGAUCCUGAGUUAUUCACCUGGCUCUAGGAAGAGGAUGAUGCUGGUCCCACAGCAGAGCUCACAACUGCCUCCCCAGUUCAGAGCCAUUAACGCAGAGUUCACCGUGGUUUGUCUAUGUAGAUAAGCAUUUACUGGACAGCAAUUAGACUUCUUCCACCUGCUGAAGAAACAGGCAGAAAAUUUCCAUUGUGAUUUCAGAGACAGACUCUUGCUACCUUCCUAGACAGAAACCCCCAAAGCCACAGCGACAGGUGUCUCCAGUUUACACGGCCCCAUGGCUGGAUCUGUAUUUCCGAAGCUUCUGCCUUCUUUCUGCCCUAGCUGAUGUUCCUGUUUGGCAUUGGAAGGGCAGCAGUUCCCCAGCUUGGUGUGCCAGGACGUGUCCAGCGCUGUCCCUGCGGCACGCGUGGCACCACUGCUCUGCUUUUGCUGACAUCCGUUCGCUCUGAAACACAACCACAUGCAGUUCCUCAAAUGAGUCUAAGUAACAUGGAAAGUAUCUGGCAUGAGGAAUUUUCCAAUAUGAAAUCAUAUCUCUGACCCCUGUUACCCUCAGCAGACCUGAUCCUGACCUGACCUGCAGAUUGAUGUCCCAGCUUGGCCUUGGACCUGCCUCAUCACUACGACCUUGCCUGAUGAUCUGGGCUGGUGGCUGCCCCUGGGGCCUGUCCUGCUCUCCUUGCCUCUCCGGGUGCCGUGGGAUGGGUCUGGCUAGCCAGGCGCUAUGCUCCCGGCUGUGAUUGCCCCCAAGUUCCAGCUCCAUCCCUCAGAGGGCCUCUGGCCCUCCCUGCUCCCUGGCAGCUGCUAUGUUUCUAACGUGCAUCCUGUUGCCUCCAAAAUACUCAUGCUGCCUAACUUGCUAUGCGGAACAGACACCACCUCUGACUUUUAAGUCAGCAAAGAUAUUUUUAAACAACCUUUUCUGAACUUCUUAAAAUGAAAUUUGUUAUUUUGAGUGUCACUUGCUCCUUCCAUUUCAGAGUUUCCUGGGAGUCCUAGCUCAGGGAGCUGCUAGUUCUCCGGGAGCUGCUAGUCUCCCAGCUCUCUCAGGGAGCUCCUGGAGUCCUCGCCCCAGGAAGGUGGCUGUGCUGAUACUGCAGUGAGCGGCCAGGCUGUGCCUCUGCAGCCCAGUAAGACUGCCCCUUUGUUCCCGGGCUACUGCAGAAAACAAUACUUGGGAAUGCGGCUUGCACCUGCUUCCUUUCUUGCAUGUCAUCCUUGGAGAUGAACUUUCAGGCUGUGUCAAACUUUAAAAAAAAAAAAGUCAAACAAAAGCUCUAGUCAUUGGUGUAGGAUUUUCUUCCUUGAGCCUCUUCCAAAAUCACUAGCUGCAUGUUACUUCAUCUGUGAGCGAACAGGAACGUUCUCUGGGGCCACAGCACGCUGUGGAGGGAGGCUGUUGUGCUUUAUUGCAUGUCCUUAGCAGGAGGAUGUGAAUCCGCCCUGAUGCUGAGUGAGACAAGGGAGGUGCUGGGAGAGGAGAUCUCUGUGAAUACCCAGACAGUGCUCUCUGCAGUUCAGCUCCUGGUCUCCUCCAGGC